GACGAACGCUGGCGGCGUGCUUAACACAUGCAAGUCGAACGCUGAAGCACCAGCUUGCUGGUGUGGAUGAGUGGCGAACGGGUGAGUAAUACGUGAGUAACCUGCCCUUGACUCUGGGAUAAGCCCGGGAAACUGGGUCUAAUACUGGAUGCUACAUGUCACCGCAUGGUGGUGUGUGGAAAGGGUUUACUGGUCUUGGAUGGGCUCACGGCCUAUCAGCUUGUUGGUGAGGUAAUGGCUCACCAAGGCGACGACGGGUAGCCGGCCUGAGAGGGUGACCGGCCACACUGGGACUGAGACACGGCCCAGACUCCUACGGGAGGCAGCAGUGGGGAAUAUUGCACAAUGGGCGAAAGCCGGAUGCAGCGACGCCGCGUGAGGGAGGACGGCCUUCGGGUUGGAAACCUCUUUCAGCAGGGAAGAAGCCACAAGUGACGGUACCUGCAGAAGAAGCGCCGGCUAACUACGUG
Molecule: ribosomal RNA, 470 nt
Filed under: uncultured bacterium
Lineage: Bacteria
Description: partial 16S ribosomal RNA
Rfam family: Bacterial small subunit ribosomal RNA
Source: RNAcentral